Molecule: ribosomal RNA, 460 nt
Filed under: uncultured bacterium
Lineage: Bacteria
Description: partial 16S ribosomal RNA
Rfam family: Bacterial small subunit ribosomal RNA
Source: RNAcentral
CCUACGGGAGGCAGCAGUGAGAAAUAUUGGUCAAUGGACGAGAGUCUGAACCAGCCAAGUAGCGUGAAGGAUGACUGCCCUAUGGGUUGUAAACUUCUUUUAUAUGGGAAUAAAACGUUCCACGUGUGGGAUUUUGUAUGUACCAUAUGAAUAAGGAUCGGCUAACUCCGUGCCAGCAGCCGCGGUAAGACGGAGGAUCCGAGCGUUAUCCGGAUUUAUUGGGUUUAAAGGGAUCUUAGGUGGAUUGUUAAGUCAGUUGUGAAAGUUUGCGGCUCAACCGUAAAAUUGCAGUUGAAACUGGCAGUCUUGAGUACAGUAGAGGUGGGCGGAAUUCGUGGUGUAGCGGUGAAAUGCUUAGAUAUCACGAAGAACUCCGAUUGCGAAGGCAGUUCACUGGACUGCAACUGACACUGAGGCUCGAAAGUGUGGGUAUCAAACAGGAUUAGAUACCCGAGUAGUC